UGCCCGGAUUGUGACGUCCAGUCUGGUUGCUGUGGCAACCCCAUCCCAUCGUUCCGGCAGCGCGACUAGUUAACAGCAAAGAACAAGUUGGGAGACUAGUCCUGAGCCGCUGGUCUAGGGUGGGGACCGGGAGGGGGGGCGCCCCGGCAGGGGGAGCCGUCGAGGCGUCCGCGCGCCCGGGGACCCGACGGCCGAGCGGGCAGCCUGGGCUGGGCGAGCCCGGGCACAGGGAGAGGCGGGGAAACGCCGCCCCCGCGCACCCCUGGCAGGGCAAGCAGCCUCCGCCCUCCAGGUCCCGGGUCCCCCAACGGCGCGGAGGGGUGUCCAGGGCAGCUCGCCGCCCGCUCCCCACUGGGUUCACACCCGCAGGGACCCGCCCCGCACCCGGCUCCGGCCUCGGUACGUUCCUGACCUCCUCUCCAAAGAGGAUUAUAAGAAAAACGUGUUCCACACUUGAGGAAAGGACGGAGACUGUGGGUCUGGUUACUGCAGAAAAAUCCGCGCAGGCGGGCUCCCCUCACCCGCUUCCCCGCUCCCACCGCCCACGUGCCAUCUUCCAAAAAGCCCCUCCAGGCUGGGUCCAGCUCAAAGCCAUGCAGAGCCCUGCCGGCAGUGCGGAUCUGCGUCGUCUGUGCCCAAAAUUCCCGCUCAGAAGCGACACCUGUCUCGGAGCGAAAGGGACCGCCGCCACCAGUCCUCGGUCGUUAAAGGUGAAGAUGGAGGCCAAAGCCCUCGGGAGCAAGACUGGAAUUUUAAAUGAGCGCCUUCAGUCUCCGCGGCGGCAAGUCUUAGAGCUACCUUAAGAACGCAAAGUUCCAGGGGCCGGCCGGCCGCCAGCUCUCUAACCCCAGAGGGACUCCCUCUCUCACUGCCUCGCAGGGGCAUUGGGGGAACCACCUGAGACCAGCGAGAUCAGCUGGGCUUGGGGAGCCAAGAGCAGGGAGGAAGUCUCCGCUGGAGCCCCAUCCAGACCAGCUCUAACCGCUGCCCCUGUUAUGCUGGCAUCUCUCCCUGUCCUGCCAUCUUUGUAGAGCCGGGCGAGUUGUGCCCACUCGGCCAAGGGUCCCCAGUGCAAGACCUCUUCGGGAGGUCACCACAACCCAAGCCACCGUGAGUCCAGGCCACUGGCCAGAGGCAAAGGAUGGCUGGGGAAGGGCAGAGAGAAGGGAGCAGUUCUCCGGUUCUUCCCAUCCAAUUUAAUUGCCAGCAAGCUCCAAACAAAAGACCCUCUGCAUUCAUUCCUGGGCAAAGAGAGAAAGCCGCCCCCAUCAUUAACCUUGGCUCCAAUUCCCAAGGCGAGGCUGAGAAAGUCAAGAUAUCAUUCAAGAAAGAACACUUCUAACUGCUUCAUUUGGCAACAAAUCAGAGUCAAGAUGCUCAUCAGUCAUAAUCCUCUCCCCAUCCUGUCCUUCCUGAUGACUGCAGCUAGGUAAUAUUAUUUAAUGUCCAAAAGCACAAACUGGAAUGCUAGAAACAAAUGGACGUUUUACUACAAAUCUCCAGUCUUUUUAAAGGAGAGCUCUUAUUAUUGUUAAAUAUUAAAUGGUCAUUUUAAUUACAAUGGCCAAAAAUGCAUGAUGUUAAAAGCAACCCCUAAAAAGGUGAACAGUAAACUGCAGUUGCGAGAACAAGCCUAUUGGGAAGGUCACUGUUUCAGUAGACGCGAUUCUCAUGUCUGCCGAUCGGAGAGCUCAUAAUUACACCUCAGUGGCAAUUCAAAAACUAAAAUAUUUUUUAACAUAUUCAUUAUACAAGCAUCAAGGAAAAAAAAAAAUUUUCCAGCCAGUUGCAGUGGCUCAUGCCUGUAAUCCCAGCACUUUGGGAGCCUGAGGUGGGCAGAUCACCUGAGGUCAGGAGUUUGAGACCAGGUUGGCCAACAUGAAGAAACGCUGUCUUUACUAAAAAUACAAAAAUUACGGGCCAGGUGAGGUGGCUCACACCUGUAAUCCCAGCACUUUGGGAGCCUGAGGUGGGCGGAUCACCUGAGGUCAGGAGUUGGAGACCAGGCUGGCCAACAUGAAGAAACCCUGUCUCUACUAAAAAUACAAAAAAAUUAGCCAGUCGUGGUGGUGGGCGCCUGUAAUUCCAGCUACUCGGGAGGCUGAGGCAGGAGAAUCGCUUGAACCCAGGAGGCAGAGGUUGCAGUGAGCCGAGAUCGCGCCACUGCACUCCAGCCUGGGCUACAGAGCACUACUCUGUCUCAAAAUAAAAUAAAGUUGAUGACACAUAAUAAUAAUUAAAAAUUUUAAAAGUUUUGCCAGGCGCGGUGGCUCAAGCCUGUAAUCCCAGCACUUUGGGAGGCCGAGGCGGGUGGUCUCGGAUCAAGAGAUCGAGACCAUCCUGGUCAACAUGGUGAAACCCCGUCUCUACUAAAAAUACAAAACAUUAGCUGGGCAUGGUGGCGCGUGCCUGUAAUCCCAGCUACUCAGGAGGUUGAGGCAGGAGAAUUGCCUGAACCCAGGAGGCGGAGGUUGCGGUGAGCUGAGAUCGCGCCAUUGCACUCCAGCCUGGGUAACAAGAACGAAACUCCGUCACAAAAAAAAAAAGCUAAAAAAAAAUUUUUUUUUUUUUUUUAAACAAUUUAGCUGAGCAUGGUGGCGUGCACCUGUAAUCCCAGCUCCUUGGGAGGCUGAGGCAGAGUCACUUGAAUUUGAGAGGCAGAGGUUGCAGUGAGCCAAGAUUGUGCCACUGCACUCCAGCCUGGGUGACAGAGUGAGACUCUGUCUCAAAAAAAAAGCUUUUUCCAAGAAAAGAGUUGAAAAAGCGCAUCAGCCAGGUGCGGUGGCUCACACCUGUAAUCUCAGCACUUUGGGAGGCUGAGGCGGGUGAUCACCUGAGGUCAGGAGUUCAAGACCAGCCUAACCAAAAUGGUGAAACCCUGUCUCUACUAAAAAUACAAAAAAUUAGCCAAGUGUGGUGGCAGGCUCCUGUAAUCCCAGAUACUGGGGAGACUGAGACAGAAGAAUCCCUUGAACCCGGGAGGUGGAUAUUGCAGUGAGCUGAGGUUGCGCCAUUGCACUUCAGCCUGGGCAACAAGAGCAAAACUCCGUCUCAAAAAAAAAAAAAGAAAAGAAAAAGCACAUAAUCUUCUGCACAUACCAUAGUCGGUUUCCAUUCCAGGGCUACCUGAACUCCUAUCCAGGCAGCCCCAAGCCCUGCCUGAGGCCAGUUUGUUCAACAGCACACACCCCUGCUGUGGCCACGCAGCAUGCCUGGUUUUCAAGGCCUGUGAAGCGCUUGUACGCACACCACCUCGCAGCCACAUGGCUCUAAGCUGCCCCAUGCCGCCUCCUCAGCAGGUGUGAGACAGCGUCACUCAGGACCACAGUGCCCACCUGCUGCACCAAAAUUUUCCUUGUUCUUGAAGCCUUUUUCUCAGUAUGGACCCUGCAUCACCUGAAUCCAAAUCAGCUGGGGCUUCAGGAGAGGAGGGCGCUUCUCAAAAAGACAGUCCUGGGCCGUGGUCCUGAACCCGAGAAAACACUUGUACAAGCCUGAGAACUGAGAACUGAGAACUUUUUUUUUUUUUUUUUUGAGACGGAGUCUCACUCUUUCACCCAGGCUGGAGUACAGUGGCAUAAUCUUGGCUCACUGCAACCUCUGCCUCCCGGUUCAAGAGAUUCUGCCUCAGCCUCCCAAGUAGCUGGAAUUACAGGUGCCUGCCACCACGCCAGGCUAAUUUUUGUAUUUUUAGUAGAGACAGGGUUUCAUCAUAUUGACCAGGCUGGUCUCAAACUCCUAACCUCAUGAUCCACCCGCCUCCACCUCCCAAAGUGCUGGGAUUACAGGCACCUGCCGCCAGGCCCAGCCUGUCUGAGAACAUUGUAUGGGUGCUUUCUGGGUUCUAGGGACAGUGGUAGCUAACUCACUCCACUGGUCAGCACAGCCUUUACAGACUGUUUUAACUGGGCCCAAAAUAGCCCAGGGGGAAAAAAAAAUGUGUAUUCCCAAAUCCAUCCCAAAGACAAGAAAAUGGCUGGAUUAGAAAUUCAGUUUCCUGUUCCUAGAGAUAAGCACUAUGAUGGCACCGGUUAACAUGUGGUCUCCAUCUGAUUCCUAUAGGUGGAGGGCCACCUCCUUUCAGGGAUGGCAAAUCCCCACAUCAAGCCUCUCUACUACCCUCUUCUCCCUCAAAGAGAAGCAACCUCACAGUUUAUUCCACUAAAUACAGGCCCAUCCCCACGACUCAGCGAACUCGGGCAGGUGUCCACCCAGCUCUCCUUCGGGGGCCUGGCCCAUCUCUCACUCCCAUGGUGCCCCUACCCUGUGGUUUCUGACUCCAGCCACCCCAGUGAUCUGUCCCUGCAACUGCCAGAUCUGUAGCUGUCCCAUAUCCUAAGUCCCCCCGACCCACGGGAGGGCCAGCAGCUCUUGGCUUACUACACUUGACAAGUUUAAGGGUCUAAGACUUGUGUACAAAUGGAAAGUGAAAUCAGGUGUCAAACCAAAUUCCAGGCUCCCCUGACAUUAUCAGUGACUUAACAGCCGGACCACUAUCCCCACCCACUGGGGUCCUUUUCACCUUCCAGGAAAUCAAGUGUCCCCUAAAAAGGCUGACGUCUAGAUAGCCCCAGACAUCAAAUGUCUUAAGACACUUGGUAUCAUCCAACCCCCUCACUUUCCUCAAGUUUCUGACCACUCUGUCCUACACACCACACAUGAGCAGUUAGGACCCAUGUAUUUAAACACCUGGCUGUUCCUAAAGGUAUGAGUACAACACUAAGCAAACACUUCACCACUCCAAGUGCCAUGGGAAAAGGGGGAUCAGAGGCUUUUGGAGACAAAACACAUGAAGCCUUUAGUUUUUUGUUGUUGUUUUUUGCAUUUAGUAAUGACUAGUUUUGGCCAAGUGUGGUGGCUCAUGCCUGUAAUCCUAGCACUUUGGGAGGCUGAGGCGGGUGAAUCACCUGAGGUGGGGAGACCAGCCUGACCAACGUGGAGAAACCCAUCUCUACUAAACAUACUAAAUUAGCUGGGCAUGGUGGCAGGCGCCUGUAAUCCCAGCUACUUGGGAGGAGGUUGAGGUGAGCCAUCACUCCAUUGCACACCAGCCUGGACAACAAGAGUGAAACUUCAUCUCAAAAGAAAAAAGUGACACUAGUUCAUAGCACACAGUGACCAUUAACACACCUCAUUUCUUCGGCUGUACCAGCACUCUCAAGGGAAGGGCAUGAGGGUGUUUGUGUAACUCACAUUGGCGGAUAUGAGACCGACCGCCUGUUUCAGCACUCUCAUGAACUUAAAUCACAGCUUGAAACUCUCCACGACCCCAGUCAGCCUCCGUGCCUCAACUAUUUUCGAUCAGGCAAGCGAGGUGUGAGUCAAAACAGAUACAAAGGAAACUGGUCUACAAUAUGUUUUGGGCACAGCUGGUGUCAUGGCUGUGACGGAAUUCAAGUGCACACCACAUAUUCCCCAUCAGAAAACCGCAUUUGCUGGCAAAGCUGCUCCCUAAGCUCUGCAUCUGGAGAAAUUCUAGUUAGUGACAGCCCACUCCUGAAUCUCACUGCGGCAAGCAGCACAGCUAAGGGGAGAACAUCGAAAUAAAGGACAUCGUUUCUUCUAAGCCUAAUGAAGACCAACAGAACUGUUGGUACAGCAACUAAUUUGUGAGGACAAAGCUGUUCUUAACAUGCCAGUCCUUAAAGAAACAAAGGCUUGCACAGUAGUAGUAGCCACGUGUUAGCCACUUUAAUAGAAAACGUGAUCAAAACUCCAUUACAAGAGAUCAGAAAGACAUAGAAAAACCAGUGAGUUUCAAUUUUAUUACAAGUUUUCAGAUCUGGGACUAGUUUUCUUCUUUCAACUUAAAUGGUAACUUCAGCCCAGGGUUUUUUCACAACCAAACUAAAAAUUACUUUCUACAUGGGAACAUCAAUGCAACAAACAAGUAAAAUUUGCAAACUCAAGCCACAAAGUCACAGUUAAUAAUCACGGUAAGGGCAUCGCCAAAAAGCAACUGAUGCCUCAGUGAAGUUUGAAAGAAACUCUGCCUUCUGUGAAGGCAGAGAAAUACACAAGCAAUUCUGCUUCAAAGAAAUUUGCAUAGAAAUGGAAAAUGCUAGAGCCUUUAACACAAGUGAAAUUGCAAAGCCUCAACAUGUUCAACUAAUCCACAGAGCACCAAAUGUUAAAUUGGAGCCAAGGUAGGAUCAAACAUUGAAUUUCCAGCUAUGCAACUCAGAGCACAAGUUCAGGUAUGGAAACCAUCUGUAGGCAAGCUCUUUUAGAAACAUGAAUUUCAUACACCGUAAAUUCUAAAACAGACACUUCAUUACUGUCUGAACUUCUUUCAAAGUCACUCACGGCAACAAUUGCAACUCUUUUCCCAGCUUUGGUAGCCCUUCUUAAUUCUCUAACCUGUGCACUGUGUCACACCAGUUUGUAGAAUGACUUCUGAUAUUACAUCUAGUCAUGGCCUAAGUGGCAUGGAGCAGCUACUUCCUGGGCACCUCCCAUCUCCUUAGCAUGGGAAGCUUCCCAGUCACUUCGCCUCUGUGGCCCCCUUCACCAGAGCUUCCAGAGCUCUUGGCAUCGGGGGCCCCCGAUGGCUGGGCCCCACACAGGAGGCCACAUCUGGAAGCACUAUUCCUACAGCUCCCUCUGCUGGAGACCAAAGGGACAGUUUGUUGCAAAGACUUGUAGAAACAUUACUUACACAUUCAUUUUUGUACACAUUUAGUUAAUUUAGAACCUGGGACUUUUACAGUUGAUCCCGCAAACGCCUUUACGGACAGUGACGGACUACACACCAAUGCUGAAGGAGUGCAGCUUCUCUCUCUAGGAAGAAGAGGAUUAGCAGACAUAAUUGUGUGCGUCAAGAGAAAUUUGUAAUCAAAAAAUUAAAGACGAAUGACCGAAAAACCCGUAUUUUAUUGACACUUUUUCCCACAGAGAAUCUUAGAAAGAUGCCACAUUUUCUGUUAAUGAAUGAGAGGAGCCCACUCGUAUCCUGAAUCAUUGUUUGCGAACAGCAACAGAUACAAUUGUCACACUUUUAAAAUAACAGCCACUCCCUUCAGCCCACACCUCCACACCCUCAUCUGCCACCCCAAGGCUGUCAGUUCCGUCAAGUCACCCCCUCCUACUCUGGUAUUACCUUGAGAAUUGAAAUUUUCAAGCAGAAAAAAAAGAA
Non-coding RNA from Callithrix jacchus (white-tufted-ear marmoset), 7135 nucleotides. The record is from RefSeq and is a predicted model, not a curated record. NCBI's taxonomy places the organism in Eukaryota, Metazoa, Chordata, Mammalia, Primates, Cebidae.